RNAcentral lists this ribosomal RNA (187 nucleotides) under Bernardpora stutchburyi. Its description in RNAcentral is "partial 28S rRNA". It matches the Rfam family "Eukaryotic large subunit ribosomal RNA", at positions 1 to 182 of the family's 3401-position model. The record is from RNAcentral. Lineage: Eukaryota; Metazoa; Cnidaria; Anthozoa; Scleractinia; Poritidae.
AUCUUGACCUCAGAUCAGGCAAGGCUACCCGCUGAAUUUAAGCAUAUUAAUAAGCGGAGGAAAAGAAACUAACAAGGAUUCCCCCAGUAACGGCGAGUGAAGCGGGAAUAGCUCAAAUUUGAAAUCUCCGACGCUUGCGUCGGCGAGUUGUAGUUGCGAGAAGCACUUUCUAGGCGGAUCGGUCGUG